UAUCUAUCUUCUUAGCAAUGUUUGCAACACGUCAUGCUCUUAUCAACUGAGCUACGAAGGAGCACGUCGACGUCACUAGAAUGAUGACAAGCAAUUUUAAGGGAUUCUAAAGGGAAUCAGAAUUCCAAACUAAUUUCUAUGGCAACACAGUUGUCAAUUUUGUAAACAAUCAUUUUCGAACGUGUGUUGCCAAGAGACAUCUAACCGACGUUCUAUGGAACGUUUUCGGUGCGAAAACAACAACUUUGCUGCUGACAACAAACUUGUUUGAUUUUUGAGACCUGAGAACAAUCGACUGGAAAAUGCCUGGGUGCUUUUCAAGACUGGCGGAGAGAGUGCGUGGACGUCGGCGGCCUACUGCGUCGACAGGUUGUUCAAAUUCAUUUGUGGCUUGUUUUUCUUGUCUUUUUCUGUUUUGCAGGGUUCGUGGUCGUCGACAGGUGGACAGCGACAGCGACUUCGAAGAGGAAACAACUGUCCUGGAUGAGGUCCAGUUGGAUGUGCCAUUGGAUGAUGUGCUAGAUGUUCCACAGCUGCUAGUCCUCCUUGAUGUCCAGAAUGCUGCUAUCAUCCUUGAGGAUGUGCCAGAUGUGCAGACUAUCCUUGAGGUACAAUUUUCUGAAAGUUUGGGGUUUUAUGUUUGAAAAAUAUCCCAGAUAUUCAAGUUGUCUCUUUGACAUGAAACAAAUCUCUUGUCUGCUUUCUGCUUUAGGAGGCCACUGGCAUUUGGCAGUUGAUUCUGAUUAGGUUCAGCCCCCAGUACUGUGGGCCUGUUGUGAUCAGGGUAAGAGACCCCCCCCCCCACACACACACAGUCACAUCACUGUUACAAUGUUUACUGUUUCCAACAUGAAUGUAUUGUAAUGUGCAGAACAAUGCCGGUCCGGUGGUUAAAGCUUGGAGAACUUUCCAGUUCAUCAGCCCCAUCAUCACCUACAUGCGUGGGGGAUCCCAGGUAUGUGUCUUUGUAACAACCUAAUCAUAAUCUAUAUUGUCAGUCAUUUGAUCUUGAUGGAAAUGUGUCACAGUAAUUGCCGAAGUGGUUUUGUUGAUGUUGUCUUGUUGUUUAUCUCAACAGCAGGUGGUGGUGAGGAUGCACCACGUGAGUAGGGUGAGAGGCCUGGAGACUCAACUGGUGUGGGCCAUCUCCAAGGAGACAGCCAGGCUUAGUCCAGAGGGCAUCCCCUACUGUGCCACCAAAGUGCAGUCCAUCACUUGGAUCCAGGUAAGACGUAAAUACUACUGAAACAGUAGUAGAUUAGGCUUUUC
This 1269-nucleotide long non-coding RNA is filed under the name Oncorhynchus kisutch (coho salmon). RNAcentral describes it as "lncRNA (ENSOKIG00005027327.1)". Lineage: Eukaryota; Metazoa; Chordata; Actinopteri; Salmoniformes; Salmonidae. The record is from RNAcentral.